CGAUUAUUGGGCCUAAGGCGUCCGUAGCCGGACAAUUAAAUCCUCUGUGAAAUCGUCGCGCUUAACGUGACGGCGCGCAGGGGAGACUGGUUGUCUCGAGACCGGGAGGGGUCAGAGGUAUGCCGUGGGGACUGGUAAAAUGGUAUAAUCCACGGUAGACCACCAAUGGCGAAGGCAUCUGACCAGCACGGAUCUGACGGUGAGGGACGAAAGCCAGGGGAGCGAACCGGAUUAGAUACCCGAGUAGUCCUGGCCGUAAACGCUGCGAGCAAGGUGUUGCCUAUCCCAUGAGGAUGGGCAGUGUCGAAAUGAAGAUGCUAAGCUCGCCGCCUGGGAAGUACGGUCGCAAGACUGAAACUUUAAGGAAUUGGCGGGGGAGCACUACAAGGGGUGCGGCGUGCGGUUUAAUCCAACUCAACGCGGAAAACCUCACUAGAAGCGACGGCAGGAUGAAGGCCAGGUUGAAGACUUUGCCCGACGAGCCGAGAGGUAGUGCAUGGCCGCCGUCAGCUCGUGCCGUAAGGUGUCCAGCUAAGUCUGGUAACGAGCGAGACCUGCGCCCACAGUUGCCACCGGGACAUGUCGACCGGGCACACUGUGGGGACUGCCUUCGUAAGGAGGAGGAAGGUGCAGGCAACGGUAGGUCUGUAUGCUCCGAAUCUUCUAGGCUACACGCGCGCAACAAUGGUGGAGACAAUGGGAUGCGACACCGAAAGGUGAAGCUAAACCUCUAAACUCCAUCGUAGUACGGAUCGAGGCUUGCAACCCAGCCUCGUGACGCCGGAAUCCCUAGUAAUCAGCUGUCAUCAUCUG
RNAcentral lists this ribosomal RNA (813 nucleotides) under uncultured euryarchaeote. RNAcentral describes it as "bacterial SSU rRNA". It matches the Rfam family "Archaeal small subunit ribosomal RNA", at positions 497 to 1314 of the family's 1478-position model. The record is from RNAcentral. Lineage: Archaea; Methanobacteriati; Methanobacteriota.